Long non-coding RNA from Acanthopagrus latus (yellowfin seabream), 664 nucleotides. RefSeq lists it as uncharacterized. Lineage: Eukaryota; Metazoa; Chordata; Actinopteri; Spariformes; Sparidae. The record is from RefSeq and is a predicted model, not a curated record. The transcript has 3 exons.
GUCUCAUUAGACUUUUGUCACGAUGAUUUUAGAGGAUUUUUAGAGGAGUUGAGUCACAGGCCUGCAGAUUAGCUUCAGUACAUGUUGUCCUUUUUUUAUUAUCACCAUCUGGACCCCGCAGACCUCCACCAACACCGUCAUCGUCUAAACUCAUGACCACAGUAACUGGUUCCUACAGUAUCAUAUAUGUAUAUAACAUGUGGAGAUGAAGAUAUGAAGUGUUUUCUAUGGUUCCCACCUCGGGUCAUAAAUGAAAUCUGCCCUCGGUGAAUCAGCUGCACUGGGUGGAGAAUGAUGGAGGCUUCAGUGUAAAAUACAAAUAAAAUCAAUAACAGCAGCAGAGCUUCAGGCUGUGAAGACGAGGUGAUGAAGAGACGACAGACUCUCUUGGGUGGAGCAGGUGGAGCAGCUUCAAAAGGCUCCUGUGUGAUCAGCGCAGAAGUCGACUCAAGAUUCAACCUGCCGAAACAAAUGAAGCUGAAAUCGAUUUGCUCUCAGAGCUGCAACCAAAGCAGCAAAAUAAUGAAGGUGUUUCACAGAUUCUAGUGGAGGAACAAGGACUCAGAUCCUUCACUUCAGUACUGAUACCACACUGUGAUUAACCGCGGCUGGUGCGAUGCGUCGAUGUAAUCGACGUGAUCGUAACGUGCAGGACUGCCGCCGU